CCCUGCAUCGGACCGAAGUCCGGGCUAACUGGGGCCUUGCCCCCUGCAUCAGACCGAAGUCCGGACUAACUGGGACCUUGCCCCCUGUAUCGGACCGAAGUCCGGGCUAACUGAACAGAACAUAGCAUAAACAUAUCAACUAGCAUGAACACACAUAUACUGCAUACUACAUCGGGCCGUGGCCCGGAACACAUAACACAUAAUUCUUGUCUGAGCCACGAAGGCAUCAAACAUACUAAAUACUGCAUCAGAUCAAAAUCCGGAAACUGCUACUAGCUAAACGGGUCGGCAUUGUGGCCUUAGACCCGUUCCUACUGGAAGGAAACUCACCUGAACUGCUGAGCUCUGCUGAUAAACCUCUGGCUGCUACUCGACAAUCCCCUGAACCGCUGCUCCUCUAGCUCUCCGAGCUAUCAAUAUACAUAUAACACUUAGUCUGACAGUCAACUAAGUCAACUCUGGUCAAAGUCAACCUUCCAGGUCAACCCUACUCGCCGAGUCCUCCUAAUGACUCGCCGAGUUCAUAAGCUCAGGGUCUUUCUAUUCGCGACUCGACUCGCCGAGUCAUUCUAUGACUCGCCGAGUCCAAC
This 590-nucleotide long non-coding RNA is filed under the name Lactuca sativa (garden lettuce). RNAcentral describes it as "long non-coding RNA (LSAT_LNC006893)". Lineage: Eukaryota; Viridiplantae; Streptophyta; Magnoliopsida; Asterales; Asteraceae. The record is from RNAcentral.